This 645-nucleotide unclassified non-coding RNA is filed under the name Hevea brasiliensis (rubber tree). Lineage: Eukaryota; Viridiplantae; Streptophyta; Magnoliopsida; Malpighiales; Euphorbiaceae. The record is from RNAcentral.
GCUCUCACUGCCGCACUUUCCCUUUUCCCCAUUUUGCCGCCGCAGCCGAGGAGAAAAUGACUACCAGAUUCAAGAAGAACAGGAAGAAGCGUGGUCACGUCAGCGCCGGACAUGGUCGUAUCGGAAAGCACAGGAAGCAUCCAGGAGGAAGAGGUAACGCCGGAGGUAUGCACCAUCACAGGAUCCUUUUCGACAAGUACCAUCCUGGUUACUUCGGUAAAGUAGGUAUGCGUUAUUUCCACAAGCUUCGUAACAAAUUCUAUUGCCCUACUGUCAACAUCGACACUCUAUGGUCUCUCCUUCCUCAAGAGGUGAAAGACAAGGCUGCUGCCAAUAAGGGUACUGCCCCGUUGAUUGAUGUUACCCAAUUUGGGUAUUUCAAGGUUUUGGGUAAAGGUGUUUUGCCUACGGGACAGCCUGUUGUUGUUAAGGCUAAGUUGGUCUCAAAGAAUGCAGAGAAGAAGAUCAAGGAAAAUGGUGGUGCUGUUGUUCUUACCGCCUAGAUUUGAUUUGAGUUGUUAGUUACUUUUUUUUGUGUUAAAGUUACUGUUUUUGGAUUAGUUAAUGGAGAUUUGAACUUGGAAUUGUUUGAAAUACUUUUUACAACAAAUUGGCGUAUAAUUUUUUCUGGAUCCUUGACUCUCU